RNAcentral lists this ribosomal RNA (451 nucleotides) under uncultured bacterium. RNAcentral describes it as "partial 16S ribosomal RNA". It matches the Rfam family "Bacterial small subunit ribosomal RNA", at positions 354 to 796 of the family's 1533-position model. The record is from RNAcentral.
GUGGGGAAUUUUGGACAAUGGGCGAAAGCCUGAUCCAGCAAUGCCGCGUGUGUGAAGAAGGCCUUCGGGUUGUAAAGCACUUUAAGCGAGGAGGAGGCUACCGAGAUUAAUACUCUUGGAUAGUGGACGUUACUCGCAGAAUAAGCACCGGCUAACUCUGUGCCAGCAGCCGCGGUAAUACAGAGGGUGCAAGCGUUAAUCGGAUUUACUGGGCGUAAAGCGCGCGUAGGUGGCCAAUUAAGUCAAAUGUGAAAUCCCCGAGCUUAACUUGGGAAUUGCAUUCGAUACUGGUUGGCUAGAGUAUGGGAGAGGAUGGUAGAAUUCCAGGUGUAGCGGUGAAAUGCGUAGAGAUCUGGAGGAAUACCGAUGGCGAAGGCAGCCAUCUGGCCUAAUACUGACACUGAGGUGCGAAAGCAUGGGGAGCAAACAGGAUUAGAAACCCCAGUAGUCC